AAAGGAAUAGACGGGGGCCCGCACAAGCGGAGGAACAUGUGGUUUAAUUCGAUGAUACGCGAGGAACCUUACCCGGGCUUGAAAGUUAGCGACGGAUGCCGAAAGGUGUCUUCCAGAAAUGGCGCGAAACUAGGUGCUGCAUGGUUGUCGUCAGCUCGUGCCGUGAGGUGUCGGAUUAAGUUCCAUAACGAGCGCAACCCCUAUUGAUAGUUACCAGCGAGUAGUGUCGGGGACUCUAUCGAGACUGCCUGUGUAAGCAGAGAGGAAGGUGGGGAUGACGUCAAAUCAGCACGGCCCUUACGUCCGGGGCGACACACGUGUUACAAUGGUUGGUACAGAGGGUAGCUACCCAGCAAUGGGAUGCCAAUCUCAAAAACCAAUCUCAGUUCGGAUUGGAGGCUGAAACCCGCCUCCAUGAAGUUGGAUUCGCUAGUAAUCGCGCAUCAGCCAUGGCGCGGUGAAUACGUUCCCGGGCCUUGUACACACCGCCCGU
Molecule: ribosomal RNA, 493 nt
Filed under: uncultured bacterium
Lineage: Bacteria
Description: bacterial SSU rRNA
Rfam family: Bacterial small subunit ribosomal RNA
Source: RNAcentral